Molecule: unclassified non-coding RNA, 472 nt
Filed under: Hevea brasiliensis (rubber tree)
Lineage: Eukaryota; Viridiplantae; Streptophyta; Magnoliopsida; Malpighiales; Euphorbiaceae
Source: RNAcentral
CCUUAACAAACCUAAAAAAGCCCGUCCCAGAAACAAUCCCAAAUUCCCUCUCCUUCAUUGAAAAUAUAUCAGAUCCUUGGAUUUCCAAGGUGCUCCCUUUAUGCUCCCCAUCUGUGAAAAUCAGAGAAAACACCAUAUACAGGCCCUUCCCAUCAAGCUGAGAAUUUAUGUAGGUCCCUUGAGCCCUACCAAUCUCCCUGGAUUCAAUACUGGGCCCUUCAGUAACUGGGUCAUCAACCACUGCAACCGUCCCAAAUUGUAGGAUGUGAAAGUUGGGCCCACUUUUCCCGGCGACAGUGAUUGCUGAACUGUCGAGGCCGGUAAAGUAGUCAUGCACAUAGACUACAAGGUUAGUUUGCUUUGGUUCUUGUCUAGGGAUGGUGUAGGCAACAUAUAGAAGAAUUAAGCUGGAGACGAAGAAGAGAAAAUUGGUGGACAUGGCUAUUUUUGGUGUUAUGGUUUUCAAGGGUUG